This 410-nucleotide ribosomal RNA is filed under the name uncultured microorganism. RNAcentral's name for it is "bacterial SSU rRNA". It matches the Rfam family "Bacterial small subunit ribosomal RNA", at positions 509 to 917 of the family's 1533-position model. The record is from RNAcentral.
CAGCCGCCGCGGUAAUACGUAGGGUGCGAGCGUUAAUCGGAUUUACUGGGCGUAAAGCGUGCGCAGGCGGCCCGUUAAGACAGGUGUGAAAUCCCUGGGCUCAACCUAGGAAUUGUGCUUGUGACUGGCGGGCUCGAGUACGGUAGAGGGGGGUGGAAUUCCUGGUGUAGCAGUGAAAUGCGUAGAGAUCAGGAGGAACACCGAUGGCGAAGGCAGCCCCCUGGGCCUGUACUGACGCUCAUGCACGAAAGCGUGGGGAGCAAACAGGAUUAGAUACCCUGGUAGUCCACGCCCUAAACGAUGGGUACUAGCCGUUUGGUGCGCGAUAGCGCUGAGUGGCGAAGCUAACGCGUGAAGUACCCCGCCUGGGGAGUACGGCCGCAAGGUUGAAACUUAAAGGAAUUGGCGGG